GGGACUGCACAGGUGGGCUUCUCAGGCGGGGACUGCACAGGUGGGGACUGCACAGGUGGGCUUCUCAGGCGGGGACUCCCCACGUUGGGGGCUGGUCCUCUGCAGAGGCCCCGUGUGGCCCCAUGUGGCCCUGUAUGGCCUCAGAGCUGCAUCCUUGCCACUGGUGUGUCCGGUGCUGGUCUCUGCUCUGACUGCCAGCUGUGCCUCCUCAGGACUCUGCGCGUCCUCUCCUGGUGCCCGAGUCUGGAGCAGGAGUGGACCCCGGGACCCGCACUGGGCUCUUGCGUCCAGCCAGAGGAAUGUCAGUCGCUUGACCUGGUAGAAAGUAGGUGGCUGUGGAGUCAAGUGGUGGUACAUCAGGCUGAGCGCUCACAUCACAGUGCACAAGGACCUGGGUUCAAGCCCCUGGUCCCCACCUGCACAGGGAAAGCUUCACAAGCCGUGAAGCAGGGCUGCAGCGGUUAGAGGAGGUGGACGUGGAAGGCAGAGAGGAGCUGGCAGGAGAGGAGUCUCAGGCAGACUUGUGUCCUCAUAGCUCGGUGACACCAGAGCAGCAACCACCUACUUUCUUGUCUCUUAUUGUUAUUUAUUUAUUAUUGGGUAGAGGCAGAGAACUUGAGAGGGGCAGGGGAGAUAGGGAGGGAGAGAGAGAGUGUCACCUCCCCUUCUGUCCCCAGGUGGGGUGGUAUCCUAAGGGGGCCACGGAUGCCGCAGUUUGGGGGAGAAACCACGUAGAGAAGGAAACACCCGCCACAGGCUGUGGCUUGGAGUGGCCGCGGCACCUUGUCCUCAGCGCAGAGGUCCGGCCUCCCCUCCUGGGGGUCCUGGGGGGGUGGGCUGGGCUUGCAUACACCCCCCCCAAAGCCUGAGGCAAACAGACACUAGUCAGCUGGCUCUGAGCUGAGGGCCUGAGGCUGUGUUUCUUUCUUAAAAGAUUUAUUUGUUAGGGGCUGGACGGUGCCAGGUCUGGCUGAGCACACACAUUACAGUGUGCAAGGACCUGGGUUCAAGGCCCAACACUCCACCUGCUGUGGGGAAGCUUCAUGGGCAGUGGGGUAGGGCUGCAGGACCCUCUCUCUCCCCCUCUCCCUCUCUCUCUCUCUCCCCCUCUCCCUCCCUCU
Molecule: long non-coding RNA, 1121 nt
Organism: Erinaceus europaeus (western European hedgehog)
Lineage: Eukaryota; Metazoa; Chordata; Mammalia; Eulipotyphla; Erinaceidae
Exons: 3
Source: RefSeq, a predicted model, not a curated record